GGCCCGUUGGUCAAGGGGUUAAGACACCGCCCUUUCACGGCGGUAACGCGGGUUCGAAUCCCGCACGGGUCACCA
RNAcentral lists this transfer RNA (75 nucleotides) under Geomicrobium halophilum. Its description in RNAcentral is "tRNA-Glu". It matches the Rfam family "tRNA". From Rfam's summary of the family: Transfer RNA (tRNA) molecules are approximately 80 nucleotides in length. Their secondary structure includes four short double-helical elements and three loops (D, anti-codon, and T loops). RNAcentral also lists the same sequence under 8 other names. Lineage: Bacteria; Bacillati; Bacillota; Bacilli; Caryophanales. The record is from RNAcentral.